This is a long non-coding RNA of Phyllostomus discolor (pale spear-nosed bat), 431 nucleotides long. RefSeq lists it as uncharacterized. The transcript has 3 exons. NCBI's taxonomy places the organism in Eukaryota, Metazoa, Chordata, Mammalia, Chiroptera, Phyllostomidae. The record is from RefSeq and is a predicted model, not a curated record.
CGAGGGCGGAGCUGAGGGAACCACCCUCCGCCGAACCGGGCACAGGACGGGUGGGCAGUCCUGGAACGUCUCCUGUUCUGUUGCAGCUGACGGGGACCGCCCCCACCCACCGGACUUCCCAGCAGAGCCCGGUGCACCCGGGCCCCACCGACAGCUGCGGGCCCCAGGAGUACUGGUCCCCAGGCCACUGCUGCCGGCUCUGCCCCGCGGGGGAGCAUGUCCGUGAACCCUGCAGCCGCCCCCACACCCGGGGACAGUGCGACAAGUGUGACCCAGGCACGUUCACGGCGUUCCCCAACGGCCUGGGGUCCUGCCUGCUGUGUGGCACCUGCUCCCAGGACCAAGACCAGGCAGCCGAGUGCACUGCCACCAGCAACACGAGGUGCCAGUGCUGACCAGGCCGUUUCUACAAAGCCCCUGGCGACAAGGAA